GGGGGUGACUGGUUUCGACUUCGUACGUGGAGACAGGGGAAGCGAGCCGAGGAAGCCGACGUCGUCUCGAGAAUCGGUCGUCGGAAAUUUAUAAGCGCCAAGCAGAAUAGCGCUGACUCGUACGCUCUCGCCGCCUGAGGCGAGUAGCUAGAGUCUGUCGGUCUGGGAGUUCCUCCGGCCCAGUAACCGGCAUCAGCUAGGAGGAUGGCCAACAGGACCCGGUCGCGGGGUCCUCACGGCGAGAUUAAUUAGCGACUGGGCCCGUCACGGCAACUCGCUCACGUGAUUGCCGGGGCCGAGUAGAGACAUAGUGAGCUGCGCUCGGAGAAGCCCUGACAAAACAACGAAGGACCCGGGUUCGAUUCCCGGCACCUCCACGA
RNAcentral lists this transfer-messenger RNA (380 nucleotides) under Actinoplanes friuliensis. RNAcentral describes it as "Standard tmRNA". It matches the Rfam family "transfer-messenger RNA". Rfam says of the family: Bacterial tmRNA, also known as 10Sa RNA or SsrA, is named for its dual tRNA and mRNA-like properties. Its role is to liberate the mRNA from a stalled ribosome. RNAcentral also lists the same sequence under 1 other name. Lineage: Bacteria; Bacillati; Actinomycetota; Actinomycetes; Micromonosporales; Micromonosporaceae. The record is from RNAcentral.